AAAAAAAGGGGGAUGGAAAUUCGAAUUUCCUCCUAUUUCCCAUGACUCAAAACCGUUUCUCCCCUCUCUCCCAUGAUUCUCUCCCCACUCCUUAAAUCUCUCCCACACCGAAACCAAAUCUUCUCAUCUCUAUAACAUACGUUUUCACCAACCAUUUUUUUUUCUCACGGCAGACUUCGAAGGCUUCGAAGGGUGCCGAAUUCUUAAUUCAGUCCUAACUGUGAAAUGAAAUUCUUCAGCUUCAAGAACCUCCUUUUUCAGCCUUGUAAACUCCACAAUCAAGUCCUACUCACAGAGGUGAAUCAUCGCAAGUGAAACGUGAUACUAAGGGGAAGAAAGUGCUUGUGAAUUAAGCAGUCGAGGUUGAGCGGCGACGAGCAAUUGGUGGUGUUGAGCAAUCUAAAAUUGAAGUAUUGUUUGGU
Salvia splendens (bonfire salvia) is the source of this 422-nucleotide long non-coding RNA. RefSeq lists it as uncharacterized. The record is from RefSeq and is a predicted model, not a curated record. The transcript is spliced from 4 exons. Lineage: Eukaryota; Viridiplantae; Streptophyta; Magnoliopsida; Lamiales; Lamiaceae.